Molecule: ribosomal RNA, 530 nt
Filed under: uncultured bacterium
Lineage: Bacteria
Description: bacterial SSU rRNA
Rfam family: Bacterial small subunit ribosomal RNA
Source: RNAcentral
AGAGUUUGAUCAUGGCUCAGAGCGAACGCUGGCGGCAGGCUUAACACAUGCAAGUCGAGCGCCCCGCAAGGGGAGCGGCAGACGGGUGAGUAACGCGUGGGAACGUACCUUUUGGUUCGGAACAACACAGGGAAACUUGUGCUAAUACCGGAUAAGCCCUUACGGGGAAAGAUUUAUCGCCGAAAGAUCGGCCCGCGUCUGAUUAGCUUGUUGGUGAGGUAACGGCUCACCAAGGCGACGAUCAGUAGCUGGUCUGAGAGGAUGAUCAGCCACAUUGGGACUGAGACACGGCCCAAACUCCUACGGGAGGCAGCAGUGGGGAAUAUUGGACAAUGGGCGCAAGCCUGAUCCAGCCAUGCCGCGUGAGUGAUGAAGGCCCUAGGGUUGUAAAGCUCUUUUAACGGGGAAGAUAAUGACGGUACCCGUAGAAUAAGCCCCGGCUAACUUCGUGCCAGCAGCCGCGGUAAUACGAAGGGGGCUAGCGUUGCUCGGAAUCACUGGGCGUAAAGGGUGCGUAGGUGGAUCUUUAA